UCGUGCGAGAAAGUAUCUUCGGAUAUGAUUAGAGCGGCGGACGGGUGAGUAACGCGUAGGAAUCUACCUAGUAGAAGGGGGAUAGCCCGAGGAAACUCGGAUUAAUACCGUAUACCUCCUUCGGGAGAAAGAAGGCCUCUCUUUGAAGCUUUCGCUACUAGAUGAGCCUGCGUAAGAUUAGCUUGUUGGUGAGGUGAAGGCUCACCAAGGCGACGAUCUUUAGCGGGUCUGAGAGGACGAUCCGCCACAUUGGGACUGAGACACGGCCCAGACUCC
Molecule: ribosomal RNA, 276 nt
Filed under: unidentified marine bacterioplankton
Lineage: Bacteria
Also listed under: 1 other name
Description: partial 16S ribosomal RNA
Rfam family: Bacterial small subunit ribosomal RNA
Source: RNAcentral